RNAcentral lists this RNase P RNA (400 nucleotides) under Vibrio cholerae. Its description in RNAcentral is "RNase P RNA component class A". It matches the Rfam family "Bacterial RNase P class A". From Rfam's summary of the family: Ribonuclease P (RNase P) is a ubiquitous endoribonuclease, found in archaea, bacteria and eukarya as well as chloroplasts and mitochondria. Its best characterised activity is the generation of mature 5'-ends of tRNAs by cleaving the 5'-leader elements of precursor-tRNAs. The record is from RNAcentral. Lineage: Bacteria; Pseudomonadati; Pseudomonadota; Gammaproteobacteria; Vibrionales; Vibrionaceae.
UGGGUCGACCAGGCGGUCGCGUUGGACGAUGCGCAAGCAGCUGUCCACCGAGGAACGUCCGGGCUCCACAGGGCAGGGUGGUGGGUAACGCCCACUCGGGGUGACCCGCAGGCCAGUGCCACAGAAAAGAGACCGCUGCUCGUCACGGGCUUCGGUCCGCGGGGGGCAGUAAGGGUGAAAAGGUGGUGUAAGAGACCACCAGCGUGCCGGGUGACCGGCGCGGCUCGGUAAACCCCACCCGGAGCAAGGCCAGACAGUGCGCGAUCGAGGGCUGCUCGCCCGAGUGCACGGGUAGGCCGCUGGAGGGCGUCGGCAACGGCGUCCGUAGAUGGAUGACCGCUACUCGCGUGCCGGCAACGGCGCGCGAUGACAGAACCCGGCGUAUCGGUCGACCCAUCCC